This is a long non-coding RNA of Orcinus orca (killer whale), 3560 nucleotides long. RefSeq lists it as uncharacterized. The transcript is spliced from 6 exons. NCBI's taxonomy places the organism in Eukaryota, Metazoa, Chordata, Mammalia, Artiodactyla, Delphinidae. The record is from RefSeq and is a predicted model, not a curated record.
CCUCCCCCCAGGACCUUCAUACAAGAAAUGGGACUCAGACCUCUCUAUUCUGAGAUUCCCGAACUCAUUUAGGAGUUCGAGUACCCCUGACUCCAGGAGAUGAAUUUGUUGAGAAACAGGUCAUGAGGCCGUUUUUAGAACCUCCACAUAAACAUGUCCUGUGAUUGUGCUUAGAAGAUCUUAGAUCUAGCUUUCUCCUCUUCCCUGCUGACCAGAGGAUUUUUAAUCAGUCAGGAUGGGAAAUGUGUGAGUGCAGAUAGAUUCUGCCUGCGGUUGGGUUCCUAGAGAUAGUUUUUAUUUAUAUCUGGACUGUGGUUUUUAAACUCAAAAGCCAAAAAUGUGAGGUCUGCAAGUCUCGUUGGUAGUGCAGUCAUGCUAUAAAGAGAAAUACGGGAGAGGGAAAGAAGGCAUGUAAAUUUAUUCCACGCUGUACAGUUAAAAAAAAAAAGAUAUAGAAGAAUUUAAAGUGAAAAGUAAUAGUCUUCUGUCCCCCUGCCCCUCCACUUCUCCAGUCCCUGGCAUUACUGCCAGGAGGCAACCCUUUAAAAUUUUUCUUUAUUUUACUUUAUUUUUAUUGAAGUGUAGUUGAUUCAAAAUAUUAUGCUAGUUUCAGAUGUACAGCAAAGUGAUUCCAUUAUAUAUAAUACAUAUAUAUGUAAAUUCUUCUUCAGAUUCUUUUCCAUUAUAGGUUAUUACAACAUAUUGGAUAUAGUUUCCUGUGCUAUGCAGUAGGACCUUGUUGUUUAUCUAAUUUAUAUCUGUUUUGUGUCUGUUAAUCCCAUACUCCUAAUUUAUCCCUCUCUCCCCUUCCCCCUUUGGUAACCAUAAAUCUGUUCUCCAUGUCAGUGAGCCUGUUUCUGUUUUGUAAAUAAGUUCACUUGUACUUCGGAUUCCACAUGUAAGUGAUAUCAUAUAAUAUUUGCCUUUUCUGACUUAGUUCACUUAGUAUGAUAAUCUCUAGGUCCAUCCAAGUUGCUGCAAAUGGCAUUAUUUCAUUCUUUUUUUUUUUUUUUUUUUUUUUUGCGGUAUGCGGGCCUCUCACUGUUGUGGCCUCUCCCGUUGCGGAGCACAGGCUCCGGAUGCGCAGGCUCAGCAGCCAUGGCUCACGGGCCCAGCCGCUCUGUGGCAUGUGGGAUCUUCCCGGUCCGGGGCAUGAACCCGUUUGCCCUGCAUCGGCAGGCGGACUCUCAACCACUGCGCCACCAGGGAAGCCCUAUUUCAUUCUUUUUUAAUGGUUGAGUAAUAUUCUAUUCUACAUGUAUAUAUCACAUUUUCAUUAUCCAUUGCUCUGUUGAUGGACAUUUAGGUUGCUUCCAUGUCUUGGCUAUUGUAAACAGUGCUGCAGUGAACACUGGGGGUAUGUGUGUAUCCUUUCGGACCAUGUUUUUCUCUGGGUGUAUGCCCAGGAGUGGGAUUGCAGAAUCAUACAAUAGGUAACUCUAUUUUUAGUUUUCUAAGGCACCUCCAUACUGUUCUCCACAGUGGCUAUACCAAUUUACAUUCCCACCAACAGUGUAGGAGGCUUCCCUUUUCUCCACACUCUCUCCAGCAUUUAUUGUUUGUAGAUUUUUUGAUGAUGGCCAUUCUGACUGGUGUGAGGUGAUAUCGUAUUACAGUUUUGAUUUACAUUUCUCUAAUAAUUAACGAUGUUGAACAUCUUUUCAUGUGCCCCUUGCCAUCUGUAUGUCUUUGGAGAAAUGUCUACUUAGGUCUUCUGCCCAUUUUUGGAUUGGGUUGUUUGUUUCUAUGAUAUUAAGCUGCAUGAGCUGUUUGUAAAUUUUGGAGAUUAAUCCCUUGUCAGUCUCAUCGUUUGCAAAUAUUUUCUCCCAUUCUGUGGGUUCUGCUUAUAACCCACUCUUCGCCUGCCUGUAGGAGAGAGGUUGUCCCCUUCUCACAAGGAGAACUGGCUGUGAAACUGGGCAAUGGAUUAUGGGGCAGUGUUCCAGAGGUUUCCCUUACCAUGCAGAAGACACUUGAAUGUCAAGGACUCUCCCUCCAUCUGAAGUCCUUUUCUGCAGGAGUCAAGACUGCCAGACCAAGGUAAAACUCUCCUGCUGAUAGAAACUUACAGAUUGGGUCGGAAACACAACAUUCAAUUAGAAGUUGGUAAUAGGAGACCCACAAGAAACAAAUAACACCAAAAGGUUUACGACAAAGGAGACGCAAUAUUUGCUUUAGUCUAAGACACGUGUUAGAAGUACAGCUAGAACGAUGCAUUUCUGCCUGGACAGAUGUUACUAUCCUGUCUCCAGCUCCAGGUAAUAAGAGUCCUACAGAGUGUACUUAGAAGGAAAACUACCAGCAAUAUUUCCAUGAGGUCUUUUUCUCCAUCCUCAUUUCGCCAUAAACUUCUAACACGACACUAAGGAUUCUCGCCUCCUCCCUGGUCUGUGAUUCCUGUUUCUUUCCACCGGAGUUUGUUACCAGUGCAUUUUCCGCAGGGCAUGUAGCCCUCACGUACCUACCGUCUGUUCUCCAUUCCCUAUCCCCUGAAUGCUGAAGCUACUUAUUAGGUAAUGAGGAGCCCAGGUUGAAGCCUUUUCCGCUCCACAGAGCGACAGCCCAGUGCUGGAGAAAGACACCUAAAAUAAAUACAUUGGUUUGAUUCCACGAUGGUCAGAGAACAUACUUUGUACGAUUGCACUUAUUUUGCCAUUGUCAAGGUUAGUCGAAUGACGUGUUGGUGUGGACAUCCUUUGCUCCCGUCUCCAGUGUUCCUGCUACACUCCCAUCCUCUGGACAUCUGGUAGUUGCUGGCGCUGUUGGCACGGUCCACUGUCAUUCUCUUGAACUCCGCGUGGAUUUCCAGGCACAAGUCCCUUGAACAGACACUCUUCGGCUAUAUCAUUGGCCAGGUGGUGCGCCGGGCAAACACGUGACCAUGGAGAAUGGGUACCCUCACUCCACUGUGAGGGCAGCUCUGUGAUGUCCUGAGGCAGAUGGAGGCCCAAGCUGUCCAGGUGCUGAGACUGGGGCUAGGAAGGGGCUUUCUGGGCCUGCCCUGUCUAGAGGCUGACAUCAGGUUCUGCAGUCCUAGGAGGGUACCUCCUGGGAGCUGCCAUUGCUCGGAAUCCUGAGACCUCCUCCCUUCCAAGCCGGUGACCGGUCUGACUGGGAGAUGGGACUUUCACUGACUACAGUCCCAUUGGCCUUCUGGCGCCGCAACGCAGGACCUUCUCUUGUGUUUCAUUCCUGUCCGUGUUACACCUGACAGAGGAGUUGAACCUGGUGGGAGCUGAAUUGUCCCGAGAAAGGGCCAGAGGUCUACCUGGUGGAGGGGAUGGCCCAGGAAGGAAGAGGGACCCUCGGAGGUGUGAGCAGAAGUGGCAAUAACUUAUCCCUUGUUACAGGAUUGUGGGGACUGGUAAAAGUAAGGGGAGCUAAGGUUUGAUUUAAAAAUCUCUUGCUUUGGGACUUCCCUGGUGGUCCAGUGGGUAAGACUCUGCGCUCCCAAUGCAGGGGGCCCAGAUUCGAGCCCUGGUCAGGGAACUAGAUCCCGUGUGCAUGUGGCAACUAAGAAGUCCACAUGCCGCAACAAAGACCCGGCACAGCCUAAAUGA